GAUGAAGAACGCAUCGAAAUGCGAUAAGUAAUGUGAAUUGCAGAAUUCAGUGAAUCAUCGAAUCUUUGAACGCACAUUGCGCCCGCCAGUAUUCUGGCGGGCAUGCCUGUUCGAGCGUCAUUUCAACCCUCAGGCCCCCAGUGCCUGGUGUUGGGGAUCGGCAGCAGGGCGUCAAGCCCGCCGGCCCCGAAAUCUAGUGGCGGUCUCGCUGUAGUCCUCCUCUGCGUAGUAGCACAACCUCGCAGUUGGAACGCGGCGGUGGCCAUGCCGUUAAACACCCCACUUCUGAAAGUUGACCUCGGAUCAGGUAGGAAUACCCGCUGAACUUAAGCAUAUCAAUAAGCGGAGGA
RNAcentral lists this unclassified non-coding RNA (350 nucleotides) under soil metagenome. RNAcentral's name for it is "partial contains 5.8S ribosomal RNA, internal transcribed spacer 2, and large subunit ribosomal RNA". The stretch from base 1 to 120 matches the Rfam family "5.8S ribosomal RNA", at positions 35 to 154 of the family's 154-position model. The record is from RNAcentral.